RNAcentral lists this ribosomal RNA (240 nucleotides) under uncultured bacterium. Its description in RNAcentral is "partial 16S ribosomal RNA". It matches the Rfam family "Bacterial small subunit ribosomal RNA", at positions 96 to 334 of the family's 1533-position model. The record is from RNAcentral.
UGGCGAACGGGUGAGUAACGCGUGAGGAACCUGCCUCAAAGAGGGGGACAACAGUUGGAAACGACUGCUAAUACCGCAUAAGCCCACGGGUCGGCAUCGACCUGAGGGAAAAGGAGCAAUCCGCUUUGAGAUGGUCUCGCGUCCGAUUAGCUAGUUGGUGAGGUAACGGCCCACCAAGGCGACGAUCGGUAGCCGGACUGAGAGGUUGAACGGCCACAUUGGGACUGAGACACGGCCCAG